This 377-nucleotide ribosomal RNA is filed under the name uncultured bacterium. Its description in RNAcentral is "bacterial SSU rRNA". It matches the Rfam family "Bacterial small subunit ribosomal RNA", at positions 521 to 896 of the family's 1533-position model. The record is from RNAcentral.
UAAAACGUAGGUUCCGAGCGUUAUCCGGAUUUACUGGGCGUAAAGCGUGUUCAGGCGGCCUGUCAAGUCGGGCAUGAAAUCUCUCGGCUCAACCGGGAGGGGCUGUCCGAAACUGACGGGCUGGAGGGCAGGAGAGGGUGGUGGAAUUCCGGGUGUAGUGGUGAAAUGCGUAGAUAUCCGGAGGAACACCAGUGGCGAAAGCGGCCACCUGGCCUGCACCUGACGCUCAAACACGAAAGCUAGGGGAGCGAACGGGAUUAGAAACCCCGGUAGUCCUAGCCAUAAACGAUGUUGACUAGGUGUCAGCGGUCUCAACCCCGUUGGUGCCGGAGCAAACGCACUAAGUCAACCGCCUGGGGACUACGGCCGCAAGGUUA